Molecule: ribosomal RNA, 253 nt
Filed under: uncultured bacterium
Lineage: Bacteria
Description: partial 16S ribosomal RNA
Rfam family: Bacterial small subunit ribosomal RNA
Source: RNAcentral
UACGGGGGGGGCAAGCGUUGUUCGGAAUUACUGGGCGUAAAGGGCUCGUAGGCGGCCAACUAAGUCAGACGUGAAAUCCCUCGGCUUAACCGGGGAACUGCAUCUGAUACUGGAUGGCUUGAGUUCGGGAGAGGGAUGCGGAAUUCCAGGUGUAGCGGUGAAAUGCGUAGAUAUUGGGAAGAACACCGGUGGCGAAGGCGGCGACCUGGUCCGGGACUGACGCUGAGGCGCGAAAGCGUGGGGAGCAAACAGG